Molecule: ribosomal RNA, 302 nt
Filed under: Listeria monocytogenes
Lineage: Bacteria; Bacillati; Bacillota; Bacilli; Caryophanales; Listeriaceae
Description: partial 23S ribosomal RNA
Rfam family: Bacterial large subunit ribosomal RNA
Source: RNAcentral
AGCCUGAUAUUGAAAUUCGGCACAGCUUGUACAGGAUAGGUAGGAGCCUUUGAAACGUGAGCGCUAGCUUACGUGGAGGCGUUGGUGGGAUACUACCCUAGCUGUGUUGGCUUUCUAACCCGCACCACUUAUCGUGGUGGGAGACAGUGUCAGGCGGGCAGUUUGACUGGGGCGGUCGCCUCCUAAAAGGUAACGGAGGCGCUCAAAGGUUCCCUCAGAAUGGUUGGAAAUCAUUCAUAGAGUGUAAAGGCAUAAGGGAGCUUGACUGCGAGACCUACAAGUCGAGCAGGGUCGAAAGACGG